Molecule: ribosomal RNA, 553 nt
Filed under: uncultured bacterium
Lineage: Bacteria
Description: bacterial SSU rRNA
Rfam family: Bacterial small subunit ribosomal RNA
Source: RNAcentral
GGGCCCGCACAAGCAGCGGAGCGUGGGGUUUAAUUCGACGCAACGCGAAGAACCUUACCAGGGCUUGACAUGACCAGGACCGCGGCGGAAACGUCGCCUCCCCGCAAGGGGCCUGGCCACAGGUGUUGCAUGGCUGUCGUCAGCUCGUGUCGUGAGAUGUUGGGUUAAGUCCCGCAACGAGCGCAACCCCUACUGUGUGUUGUAUCACUCACACGGGACUGCCGAGAGAAACUCGGAGGAAGGUGGGGAUGACGUCAAGUCAGCAUGGCCCUUACGUCCUGGGCUACACCCACGCUACAAUGGCCGGUACAACGGGCGGCGAAACCGCGAGGUGGAGCAAAUCCCUUAAAGCCGGUCUCAGUUCGGAUUGUAGGCUGCAACUCGCCUACAUGAAGCCGGAGUUGCUAGUAACCGCAGGUCAGCAUUACUGCGGUGAAUAUGUUCCCGGGCCUUGUACACACCGCCCGUCACGUCAUGAAAGCUGGCAACACCCGAAGCCGGUGGGCUAACCGCAAGGAAGCAGCCGUCGAAGGUGGGGUUGGUGAUUGGGACG